GAUCCUGGCUCAGGAUGAACGCUGGCGGCGUGCUUAACACAUGCAAGUCGAGCGAAGCACUUUCUCGGAAGUUUUCGGACGGAAGAGGAUUUGACUGAGCGGCGGACGGGUGAGUAACGCGUGGGGAACCUGCCUCAUACAGGGGAAUAACAGAUGGAAACGUCUGCUAAUGCCGCAUAAGCGCACACUGUGGCAUCACAGAGUGUGAAAAACUCCGGUGGUAUGAGAUGGCCCCGCGUCUGAUUAGGCAGUUGGCGGGGUAACGGCCCACCAAACCGACGAUCAGUAGCCGACCUGAGAGGGUGACCGGCCACAUUGGGACUGAGACACGGCCCAAACUCCUACGGGAGGCAGCAGUGGGGAAUAUUGCACAAUGGGGGAAACCCUGAUGCAGCGACGCCGCGUGGGUGACGAAGUAUUUCGGUAUGUAAAGCCCUAUCAGCAGGGAAGAAGAUGACAGUACCUGACUAAGAAGCCCCGGCUAACUACGUGCCANCAGCCGCGGUAAUACGUAGGGGGCAAGCGUUAUCCGGAUUUACUGGGUGUAAAGGGAGCGUAGGUGGCAUGGCAAGCCAGAAGUGAAAACCCGGGGCUUAACUCCGCGGAUUGCUUUUGGAACUGUCAGGCUGGAGUGCANGAGGGGCAGGCGGAAUUCCUGGUGUAGCGGUGAAAUGCGUANAUAUCAGGAGGAAACACCGGUGGCG
This 704-nucleotide ribosomal RNA is filed under the name uncultured bacterium. Its description in RNAcentral is "bacterial SSU rRNA". It matches the Rfam family "Bacterial small subunit ribosomal RNA", at positions 15 to 717 of the family's 1533-position model. The record is from RNAcentral.